UGGAAGCAGAGGAGUGCCUGGCUGGGCUUGGUUCUGGCUGGGCUGAGACUGUUUAUGCACAAAGCUUCAGCAUCUGGGUGGUCCUGACUACAUCCAGGUGUCUCCUCAGCCUCCAAACACUGCCACAGAUUGAAGCACUGAACCAGCUUUUCCCAGCUAUGUCCUUGUUAAAAGCAGACGAUGGGCUGCAACGUCAUACUUGAGUUGCACAACAUAAAAACAGAUGGAUGUUUUGCAGCCAGCAAGCAAGACUUCCAGAGCUCUAUAUGCUCUUUC
RNAcentral lists this long non-coding RNA (276 nucleotides) under Phasianus colchicus (ring-necked pheasant). RNAcentral's name for it is "lncRNA (ENSPCLG00000000941.1)". Lineage: Eukaryota; Metazoa; Chordata; Aves; Galliformes; Phasianidae. The record is from RNAcentral.